This is a non-coding RNA of Hydra vulgaris (swiftwater hydra), 842 nucleotides long. NCBI's taxonomy places the organism in Eukaryota, Metazoa, Cnidaria, Hydrozoa, Anthoathecata, Hydridae. The record is from RefSeq and is a predicted model, not a curated record.
UUCUGUAAAUAACUUGAUCCUUUUCAGUGAUAAUUUAUAUCUACAUAUAAUCAUAUUUAAAUCCCAUUGAGAAGCUACGGUUUCCACUAAGCGGUCCUGGUAAGGUUAUUUUAAGGUCUAGUUUUUUAGAUUUGAUAUUUAUUUUUUGACUCUUUUUUUUCUAUUCACAGAAAUUCAAUGGAAUUCUUAUCUAGUUGAACUUUGAAAAUAAAAAUCCUUUCAAAAAUUAUUCCUGUGUAAAAUGUGUUGAAUAGGUUUCUUAUUUUAAAUGCUAGAAAGGAGCACUAUGGAAUUUAAAAAAAUAAAUCAAGGCUUCUACAAGAGUUUUUAAUUGCACAAGAUUUUUUAUCUUAUUCUGUUUCAGAGUACCAGAAGCUGUCACAUGGUCUCUUGUGGGAGAUAUAAGAAAACGUUAUAAAUUGUUGUUGGCCAACAGAAGAAAAGAAUAACCAUGCAAUAAAAAUGAUGGCAACGAUGGAAGAUUUUAAUGCCUUUGUAGGAGAGUUGUUAGAAGAACAGAAACGUUCAACCAUGAAAAUCUUUACGUCAAGUCCGUGGUUUGGAUGCGAAAGACCAAGUGAAAAUGAUACUGGAAAGACUGUUUACCGUUGGACUUCUGUCCCAAUUUAACUUAGUGGAGACAAAAAGAACGGACCGCGGUGGAAAUAAGAGGGGGUUGAAAGGAUCAGCCGCUUUUGAAUUAAUAGUCGAAGUCGCAGCCAGCUCGUUCAACCAAAUCUUCUAUGUCUAAAUGAUCAGCAAUUUCUUUCUCGAUGGAAAUCGUAGCUACACCAACUAAACGAUCUUGACACAUUUGUGAUCUCAAAUAGGAUUUUAUUAUU